UAGAGGAAGUAAAAGUCGUAACAAGGUUUCCGUAGGUGAACCUGCGGAAGGAUCAUUAAAUAAUCAAUAAUUUUGGCUUGUCCAUUAUUAUCUAUUUACUGUGAACUGUAUUAUUACUUGACGCUUGAGGGAUGCUCCACUGCUAUAAGGAUAGGCGGUGGGGAUGUUAACCGAGUCAUAGUCAAGCUUAGGCUUGGUAUCCUAUUAUUAUUUACCAAAAGAAUUCAGAAUUAAUAUUGUAACAUAGACCUAAAAAAUCUAUAAAACAACUUUUAACAACGGAUCUCUUGGUUCUCGCAUCGAUGAAGAACGUAGCAAAGUGCGAUAACUAGUGUGAAUUGCAUAUUCAGUGAAUCAUCGAGUCUUUGAACGCAACUUGCGCUCAUUGGUAUUCCAAUGAGCACGCCUGUUUCAGUAUCAAAACAAACCCUCUAUUCAAUAUUUUUGUUGAAUAGGAAUACUGAGAGUCUCUUGAUCUUUUCUGAUCUCGAACCUCUUGAAAUGUACAAAGGCCUGAUCUUGUUUGAAUGCCUGAACUUUUUUUUAAUAUAAAGAGAAGCUCUUGCGGUAAACUGUGCUGGGGCCUCCCAAAUAAUACUCUUUUUAAAUUUGAUCUGAAAUCAGGCGGGAUUACCCGCUGAACUUAAGCAUA
This 652-nucleotide ribosomal RNA is filed under the name Mucoromycotina sp. UNEX FECRGA 2012E331. RNAcentral's name for it is "eukaryotic LSU rRNA". The stretch from base 268 to 420 matches the Rfam family "5.8S ribosomal RNA". The record is from RNAcentral. Lineage: Eukaryota; Fungi; Mucoromycota.